Molecule: long non-coding RNA, 180 nt
Organism: Cydia amplana
Lineage: Eukaryota; Metazoa; Arthropoda; Insecta; Lepidoptera; Tortricidae
Exons: 2
Source: RefSeq, a predicted model, not a curated record
ACUAUAACGAAAUUGACCAGACCCAGCUCGCCUCGGUCAAGAGGACGAAACAAAACGAUAGCUCAAAUUAAUUAUUUUAGCUUAAACGCGCAUGUGACACCCUUCAUAUAGCAACAUUCAUAGACUACGAAAACCGCUUAGCGUUGCUUGUUAGUCUCCAUAGGCUACGGCGGCCAAAAU